GGGCCGUUAGCUCAGUUGGUAGAGCGCUGCAUUCGCAUUGCAGAGAUCACCGGUUCGAUUCCGGUACGGUCCACCA
Molecule: transfer RNA, 76 nt
Filed under: candidate division WWE3 bacterium RIFOXYC1_FULL_39_7
Lineage: Bacteria; candidate division WWE3
Also listed under: 1 other name
Description: tRNA-Ala
Rfam family: tRNA
About the family: Transfer RNA (tRNA) molecules are approximately 80 nucleotides in length.
Source: RNAcentral